UAUACAUGCAGUCGAGCGCAGGAAGCGAGCUGAUCCCCUUCGGGGGUGACGCUCGUGGAAUGAGCGGCGGACGGGUGAGUAACACGUGGGCAACCUGCCUGUAAGAUCGGAAUAACUCCGGGAAACCGGAGCUAAUGCCGGGUAACAUGUUCCUUCGCAUGAAGGAACAUUAAAAGAUGGCUUCUCGCUAUCACUUACAGAUGGGCCCGCGGCGCAUUAGCUAGUUGGUGAGGUAACGGCUCACCAAGGCAACGAUGCGUAGCCGACCUGAGAGGGUGAUCGGCCACACUGGGACUGAGACACGGCCCAGACUCCUACGGGAGGCAGCAGUAGGGAAUCUUCCGCAAUGGACGAAAGUCUGACGGAGCAACGCCGCGUGAACGAUGAAGGUCUUCGGAUCGUAAAGUUCUGUUGUUAGGGAAGAACAAGUACCGUGCGAAUAGAACGGUACCUUGACGGUACCUAACGAGGAAGCCCCGGCUAACUACGUGCCAGCAGCCGCGGUAAUACGUAGGGGGCAAGCGUUGUCCGGAAUUAUUGGGCGUAAAGCGCGCGCAGGCGGUUCCUUAAGUCUGAUGUGAAAGGCCACGGCUCAACCGUGGAGGGCCAUUGGAAACUGGGGAACUUGAGGACAGAAGAGGAGAGUGGAAUUCCACGUGUAGCGGUGAAAUGCGUAGAUAUGUGGAGGAACACCAGUGGCGAAGGCGACUCUCU
RNAcentral lists this ribosomal RNA (714 nucleotides) under Halobacillus salinus. Its description in RNAcentral is "bacterial SSU rRNA". It matches the Rfam family "Bacterial small subunit ribosomal RNA", at positions 50 to 730 of the family's 1533-position model. The record is from RNAcentral. Lineage: Bacteria; Bacillati; Bacillota; Bacilli; Caryophanales; Bacillaceae.